AAUUAAUUAAAUAUUCCUCUGAAAUACUUUGUUCUUUACAUAGUUGAAUGUGCUGACAAUAAAAUCAUACAAAAAUUAAAAAAUGGAAAUCAAAUUUUUCAACCCAUGGAGGUUUGGAUUUGGAGUCAGACUCAAAAUUAAAGUGGAAAAAACACUACAGGCUGAUCCAACUUUGAUGUAAUGUCCUUAAAACAAGUCAAAAUGAGGUUCAGUAGUGUGUGUGGCCUCCACGUGCCUGUAUGACCUCUCUACAAUGCCUGUGCAUGCUCCUGAUGAGGUGGCGAAUGGUCUCUUGAGGGAUCUCCUCCCAGACCUGGACUAAAGCAUCUGCCAACUCCUGGACAGUCUGUGGUGCAACAUGACGUUGGUGGAUGGAGCGAGACAUGAUGUCCCAGAUGUGGUCAAUUGGACUCAGGUCUGGGGAAUGGGUGGGCCACUCCAUAGCAUCAAUGCCUUCGUCUUGCAGGAACAUCUGACACACUCCAGCCACAUGAGGUUUAGCAUUGUCUUGCAUUAGGAGGAACCCAGGGCCAACCGCACCAGCAUAUGGUCUCACAAGAGGUCUGAGGAUCCCAUCUCGGUACCUAAUGGCAGUCAGGCUACCUCUGGCGAGCACAUGGAGGGCUGUGAGGCCCCCCAAAGAAAUGCCACCCCACACCAUUACGGACCCACUGCCAAACCGGCCAUGCUGGAGGAUGUUGCAGGCAGCAGAACGUUCUCCACGGCAUCUCCAGACUCUGUCACGUCUGUCACAUGUACUCAGUGUGAACUUGCUUUCAUCUGUGAAGAGCACAGGGAGCCGAGGUUGAAUUUGCCAAUCUUGCUGUAAGCACAAUGUCGGGCCCUCAUACCACCCUCAUGGAGUCUAUUUCUGACCGUUUGAGCAGACACAUGCACAUUUGUGGCUUGCUGGAGGUCAUUUUGCAGGGCUCUGGCAGUGCUCCUCCUGUUCCUCAAUGCACAAAGGCGGAGGUAGCGGUCCUGCUGCUGGGUUGUUGCCCUCCUACGGCCUCCUCCACGUCUCCUGAUGUAUUGGCCUGUCUCCUUGUAGCGCCUCCAUGCUCUGGACACUACGCUGACAGACACAGCAAACCUUCUUACCACAGCUCGCAUUGAUGUGCCAUCCUGGAUGAGCUGCACUACCUAAGCCAGUUGUGUGGGUUUUAGACUCCGUCUCAUGCUACCACUAGAGUGAAAGCACUGCCAUCAUUCAAAAGUGACCAAUACAUCAGCCAGGAAGCAUAGGAACUGAGAAGUGCAGAACCACUCCUUCAUUGGGGGUGUCUUGCUAACUGCCUAUAAUUUCCACCUGUUAUCUAUCCCAUUUGCACAACAGCAUGUGAAAUUGAUUGUCACCCAGUGUUGCUUCCUAAGUGGACAGUUUGAUUUCACAGAAGUGUGAUUGACUUGGAGUUACAUUGUGUUGUUUAAGUGUUCCCUUUAUUUUUUUAAGCAGUGUAUUUUAUACAUAUAUCAUUUGUGUUUGGGGCCAUUUCAGUAAUGAAAUGAAAUAGAGAUAAAGUUAUCUACCUUUAAUAAGCAAAGUCGGUUCAGGUGUGCCUGUAAAUAAAGUGGACCUACCUUAGAUAAAGUUGAAAAAAGGGAGUGGAGGGUGGGCCAGCAGUACGUCUGGAACCAAUCAUGGUUAUGUAGAGAGGAGGAGGGGGGUUGCCUAUUAGGAGGUGUCAUAUCUGUUCCCCUUUCCAGGGGGUGUCAAGGGGGGAGGAGGGGAGUAGCUUCUACUACAGAAUGUGUUGGUGCUUGCGUGUUCCUGGGGGUAUCAGGUAGGGUUCUGUUUUGGCAGUGCUAGUCCACUUCUACACCUCUGCUUUGCUUUUAUGUUUCCAUAUUGAGUCUGGGUAGCGUCUCUGUUGGGCACAUUUAGUCGCUGGAGGAACGGAACUUGAUCAUCUGCCGAGGUUAGAGUGAGAGUCUGGUCCCCUUUCUGGACCUGCAGUGAUCCGUCCGUUCCCCAUCUGUAGCGGAUCGUUGCCUCCCGGAGCUGUUUUGCUAUUGGUGCACGUUGUCUUCUCAUCAGCAGUGCCGCAAAAGGGAUAUCUCCAUGGAUAGCCAUAGUAUGUCCCUCAAAUUUAUGUUGGGUAGUUCCCUGGAAUGUGACAGUAUCGCGGUUCGCAUCGCCACAUCCCUAGUCACGACUAUAAUGUCUCUGGGUGCUCCGUCUGUGGCCGCCAUUGCCUUCCGGAUUCGAAAAGCGGAAAGCAGUGUACCUAAGUCUUUACCGCCUUGGAUGCCUAUUGUGGUAAACAGUCUCUGGAUAUAUGGCAGUAUGGCUUCUCCACUGACGCCUUCCGGGAUGCCUCGGAGGCGGACAUUUCUCUUUAUGUGCCUCACCUCCAGUGCCGUGCCUGUCCUGUAGGGUGCGAUCCCUACCACCUUCUCUAUUCUCCACCUCAGUGAUCCUUGUCUGGAGGGCCCCCAUCUCCUUCCAAGUUUCUUUGAGGUCUGGCUUUCCAAACCUCCCUCAUUUCUUGCAGGAGACCCCUGAUGUCUCUCUUGGUCACCGGAGAGGAGUCUUCCUCUAACCCCCGGUAUUGGGGGCCCCUGCGGGUGGAGAGACGAGUCUCUCCCUGUCAUCUUGAGAGUCCUCUGAAGCCUCUUCUUUGCUAUGAGCCUCUGGUUUUGGGCCAGUUGUAUGGGCCUCUCGAAUGAGAGCCUGAUGUAGGUUUGUUUGGCCAUCUCUGGCAGGCGGGAUUUUUUAUGCCUUCGUCCCAUGAUUUUCUCUGGUGUGGGAGUGUGUUUUUGGUCGCUGGUAUGGAGUCGGGUUACCAUUUUUAGUUGUGUUUGGUCUCGCUCUGAAAAAGGUUUUUAUGGCUGUGGCCAAUGUUCA
Non-coding RNA from Pelobates cultripes (western spadefoot toad), 2848 nucleotides. Lineage: Eukaryota; Metazoa; Chordata; Amphibia; Anura; Pelobatidae. The record is from the annotation of a GenBank genome assembly.